This 2524-nucleotide small RNA is filed under the name Histoplasma capsulatum. RNAcentral's name for it is "hypothetical RNA". RNAcentral also lists the same sequence under 1 other name. Lineage: Eukaryota; Fungi; Ascomycota; Eurotiomycetes; Onygenales; Ajellomycetaceae. The record is from RNAcentral.
UCCUCCUAUACUUAUGAUCCUCAGUGGCGUUUUUGAGGUAAUGUGGCAAAUUUACUAGGAGGUUCGGGAAGGGGAAGCCGCUGGUACUCGCGCUUAGACUCCGUUACGCCAUUCAGGGACCAUACCAAGCUCAUUUCACGGUAGCCUUAUCCAUGGAUAGGCAGGCCUUUCCACUUUUUGCUGUCAGUGAAAAAGUUGACGCUCCUCUGCUAGCUAGAAAUGAUGGACACCGGAAGCUGUGCAUCUGAACUUCCCUACGUUUGCAGGAAUAGAGCGCGCGCCUAUAUAUAUAUAUAAUAUUCCAGUAUUUCUAUAGUGCGGUGGGGAAAUUUUCUACCAUUGGCAAACUCCGAUUAAGCUCCGUAUUUUGCAGUUCCAUAUGCCAUCUUACAUUGUUUCUGGCACGAUUGCCCAAAAGCUGCGGAUCGGGCAAACAAAAGAUGAACAUAUGAGAGUUAGCACUUGCUUUAAGGCACUUCUUAUUUAUUGUACACGUAUCUAUGUCUAGUGCAUAUGCAUGCGGCACGAAGACCUUUUUCAUAGGAGCGCUGGCGAACUUCAACGUCCAGUUGACAGGAGGUAAUGAUGCGUGCAAAAUCGUCCUGGCGAUGGGACAUAUCGUGACGGCGCGGAUCCUUCAUGUUGACCCAGCUCACGCUCAUUGGUACGAAAUAGUAGAGGGCAAUGAUUACAUGUUAGCGGAGCGUUGUCCCCGAAAGUGAUUUAUAUCUCUUCGGAAACAGGAUAAACCAUUGCCACCUUUUCAGCUUCUCUCGGGCUAGGGCAGUGUGUGCAAAUAACUUAGCUUUCUCUAGCGAGAAUUGGCUUAUAAAAGUCACUACCAGCUGGAGAAAUAGAAAGACAUACGUGUAUAUUAACCCCUAUUAAUACAAAGUCAUAUGGAAUAUCCAUUUAUACCCCUUGCUGGGGAUAUAAACAAACAUGGUAUCAUACAGGUGUAUUGGAAGUGGAAUAAUAAACAAGUACCACUCCUAUUUGUAGCAGGAAUGCAAAAGGUAGGGGGAAAUGCAAUUGCUUCAUUCUUCCGGUGGUAAAAGGACACGUGAAACCAACCAGAAGGGUAAAAAAAUAAUUAGAAAAAUUUUAAAAUUAAACAGGACAAGCGGGGAAAUAGCCAAAGCAUCAACGAACUGUUGAAGCCGUUGAUUGGCGUGACGCUGGGUUCGGGGGGGAUAUAUCAACAUUCAUAGCAUCAAAUACCCACGCGCUUGUAAUCUUCUUCUUUUGCCGCAUUAGACUAAGAGGCGUGAUCCAUUCCGCUAGCAGGUUCGAGAGACGGCCGCUAUCUUUGUUGUGGGUCCAAUUUUCACAGGCGGUUUUGUAUGCGUGGUCGAUGGUUUUACGACGGAUGGAUUCAUAGAUGCGGAAGGCUUCCGAGAGGGGUUCGUGGAUGUAUUUUGUCAGGACGCGGGCGAAGAGGAUGGCGUCAUCCAGGGCGUAGGCGGCUGACUCGUCUUUGGGGGGCAUAGCAUGAGCUGCAUCACCUAACAGUAGGAUCCUUUCCGUAUACCAUUUCCCCCCGGGAUGUAUCUGAUACACUGGAUACAGAAACCAAUCCCAGCAUUUUUCUGCAAUCUCGCGAAUGCACGGAAUUGCUGAUUUCCCGAAGCGAUUCUGAAUAUCAUCCCUCAAGAUCAUGACCGCGGUGCUCUUUGUCUUCCACGAAUCCGAUGCCUGAUAUUUGCAUAUUUCAUAGGUCAACCGUGCCUCAUCGACUUCAGCCAAUGCUGCCACGAACAUAUUUUCCUUUUCGCUAUCGCAAUAGGUCGUCAACAUCGUCCCAUGCCUCGAUCUGUUGAGCGCUGUGACGCUGAAGUGCUUGGACGACCUUAUUACCUCCGAUUUUAUCGUGGCUUGAAUAAACGAAAUCCCCGUAUACUCCGAUAUUCUAUCUGGAUCAACAAUGGUUGAUCUCGUAGCCGAAUGUACACCGUCACACCCCAAAGCCAAGUCACCUUUCGCAAAAGUGCCAUCCUCGAAAUAAAUUGUGACACAUUUGUCCGUCUCGAUGCCGCCUACAACCUUUUUCCCGAACAUCAUUUCAAUAUUACUCCGUUUCUCCACGGCGGAUAUCAAAGCCAGAUGGAGACAAAUGCGCAUUAUUCGUCGACCCUUAUAACCACCAUAACCCUUGCCGUCUUUGCCUGCAAAGUCGACCGCUCCCAUUUUUUUGCCACUAUGCGAGGAGAAAAUUUCUAUCUCGUCCACUUCCACGCCCCCUUGAGGGCCCAAAUAUUGCAGCUCAUCGAGCACACCUAAAUGAUCGAGGUGCCUAUGGGCGACGGGUGUGAGGUUGAUCGCGCCACCGGAAGUUGAAGGAACGUCUCGCAGCUCAUAUAUAAUGAUUUUGAGGUUCGGAAGUACCGGAGUGAGAGUUUUAGACAGCGCGAGAGCGGAAGCAAUGCCUGCAAUGCCGCCGCCUAGGAUUAGGAUCGUAUAUGGGGCAGUCGCCUGGGUAUUCGAAGCCAUGAGGGAAUCUUAGCAAUACAUCAAGAGCCAGGCC